GGCUGUGAUGGCCCUCUGCCCACACACACACACGAUAUAUAUAAGAAGAGCCUCACACAUCCCACCACACAAACUGUCCAGAGCUCGACAGAAGCACUUGUCUCCCUCCUCCGUGUCUACGUGUUGACAAUGUCCACUUCCAGGAACUUGCUGGGGAAGGCGCUGAUGCUACUCCUCAUUGUGGUAUCCCUCGACCAGGCUAAAGUUGAAGGGCUGCCCCAGGGAGUUGUUACACACCCACGACCAAAUCCUCUCCUAAACGACCCCUACCUUAACCCGGUUGGACCUGGUUCCGUUGUUGCAGGCCCAUAUGGACGACCAAAAGUGAGCAAUGAAUUUGGAAUUUGGACUAAUGAAGGACAUCAGAGCUUCGAGUUCUUUCCAGGUCAUCCAGGCCAUCCAGGCCAUCCAGGCCAUCCAGGCCAUGGUAGUACUCACCCUGGAGUCCACCAGCCCUAUGCACCUGUAGGUCACCAGAACCAUGCGGCUCAGGGUCAUCCUUCUACAGGAUAGAGACUAAGUAGUUGCUGUUGUGGGUGGUGAUGGUGAGGAAGGAGGCUGGCUGGAGAAGUGGUCAUCGACUCUGUAUAUUUUGGCAAGUGUUGCAUCUGCCACCACCAUCUACAGCAGACGGCAGCAGACACCUAACUUCUGCCACCACCACCACCACCACCAUAACAUAGAACUACUCGCUCUGUUGACACGAUUUAGGGCUCAUCAUGUUAACCAACAAAAUGUCAGCUUCAAGUAAGACCAAGAGUAACCUUCUUUAACUACAUUGUGUCUUCUGUGUUGAUGUUUUGUUUGUAAACCUUUUAUUAUUUGUUCUCUUUAACACUUAAUAUAAAACAUUGUGGCCAUAAUAAUAAAAAUAACUGGAUAAAACAA
This 888-nucleotide long non-coding RNA is filed under the name Homarus americanus (American lobster). RNAcentral describes it as "uncharacterized LOC121857230". The record is from RNAcentral. Lineage: Eukaryota; Metazoa; Arthropoda; Malacostraca; Decapoda; Nephropidae.